This 327-nucleotide long non-coding RNA is filed under the name Rosa chinensis. RNAcentral's name for it is "sRNA RchiOBHm_Chr1g0355391". The record is from RNAcentral. Lineage: Eukaryota; Viridiplantae; Streptophyta; Magnoliopsida; Rosales; Rosaceae.
GCGGAGCCGCUAGCAGCACUAUUGCUCGCCAAACGCUCAUCGCGCCUAGCUUUGGCAGCAGCAGCCUCACCCGCCCUAGAGCUCUCUGGACGCGAACCACGACCCAUAGCUACUUCCCAGGGGAUGGUCUGUAGCGGCUCAACUUCUAGCGGUUCUGGCAGUGAGGUUCCUGCAUGGGCAGACGGACGCAACGAAUCAAUAAAAAUCCUAUCCGCCGCGCUGAACGACACGUCAGACCCGGAAUCCUCACUGCUCGAAAUCUCUAUGACGUUAGCCAUCCCAAACCCUAAAACCCACAUCAGUUAGCACAAACACAGAUCUAGCCUA